This 577-nucleotide long non-coding RNA is filed under the name Nicotiana benthamiana. RNAcentral's name for it is "long non-coding RNA (NBEN_LNC018723)". The record is from RNAcentral. Lineage: Eukaryota; Viridiplantae; Streptophyta; Magnoliopsida; Solanales; Solanaceae.
GAUAAUCAAAGAGACAAAAAAUAUAAUUGGCUUUCAAAGAAUAAGAAUAAAACAAUAAGAAAGUUGUAUUCCACUAUGAUAUCAAGAAAGUUCUGUGUGUCUGCAAAUGAUAAAAUUUCUUCCUUUUAUAGUUGACAAAGAGCAACGGAUUAUUCUAAGUAAUAAAGAGCAUUAAUGGGACGUUACAUAAUAAUUGCUAUUAAAUACUGAAUAACUAACGUAUCAUGUAUUUAAUAAUGAAUGUAGAAUACUUUUUAUCAUCACGUUCGUAUCUUCAACGCCCUUUUCAUCCGUUAAUAUUGCAUGACUUGGAUAGAUACGAGAAUCGUAUCUAAGAUUCCAUCUCGUGUCUAUUUUUUUUCUUCCACCGUGCAUGUUGUCUUCCGUGCCUUUUGAUCAUUUAUUGCUCUUUGACUGUUUGACCAAUCCAGGUAUCAUGCCACGUCACCAUUAAUAAAAACUCAAUUUUUUCCCAAUACAAGAAGCAACAUCCCUGGUUCUGUUAUCAUCACGCCUACGUUUAGCCAUAGUGAAUGAUGUAAGAAAAAGGUAUUACGGGUCGCAAGUUCGAUUCUUG